UGGGGAAUAUUGGACAAUGGGCGCAAGCCUGAUCCAGCCAUGCCGCGUGUGUGAAGAAGGCCUUAUGGUUGUAAAGCACUUUAAGCGAGGAGGAGGCUACUUUAGUUAAUACCUAGAGAUAGUGGACGUUACUCGCAGAAUAAGCACCGGCUAACUCUGUGCCAGCAGCCGCGGUAAUACAGAGGGUGCAAGCGUUAAUCGGAUUUACUGGGCGUAAAGCGCGCGUAGGCGGCUAAUUAAGUCAAAUGUGAAAUCCCCGAGCUUAACUUGGGAAUUGCAUUCGAUACUGGUUAGCUAGAGGGUGGGAGAGGAUGGUAGAAUUCCAGGUGUAGCGGUGAAAUGCGUAGAGAUCUGGAGGAAUACCGAUGGCGAAGGCAGCCAUCUGGCCUAACACUGACGCUGAGGUGCGAAAGCAUGGGGAGCAAACAGG
This 430-nucleotide ribosomal RNA is filed under the name Pseudomonadota bacterium. RNAcentral describes it as "Proteobacteria bacterium partial 16S ribosomal RNA". It matches the Rfam family "Bacterial small subunit ribosomal RNA", at positions 355 to 776 of the family's 1533-position model. Lineage: Bacteria; Pseudomonadati; Pseudomonadota. The record is from RNAcentral.